CUGGGGUGGGGACCCUCCACAGCAGGGGAUGGCUACCUGGAGGCCUAUCAGGCCUCUCCUCCCAGCCCACCUUUGAGCUAUGCUGUCCCCAUAACCUUGCCCAUAUCUGACUGCAGGGCAUGUUCAGACGGUCCCAUCUCUGUAGGAAACCUGGGUCUUAAGUGUUUUUAGCUCAGGGCCUUGCUUUGCUCUGAGCUUCUGGAUUCAGGAUGAUCACGGGCUUACAUUUCAGCACCUCUCAGAACACAGGAGGAUUUCAGCUCUGGUCUUCUAGAUGAUAACAGCCAGGAGGAGCUGUCUGAUGGCGAGAAUUUCAAGCCCCAGUUAAGGUGCCUCGGAAGGGGAGUUCAACCGGGAAAUCUGGUACUCCACGACCUUGCACGUAGGAGCCACUCAAAAGUGUUUGCUGAACUUAA
Long non-coding RNA from Lutra lutra (Eurasian river otter), 416 nucleotides. RefSeq lists it as uncharacterized. The record is from RefSeq and is a predicted model, not a curated record. Lineage: Eukaryota; Metazoa; Chordata; Mammalia; Carnivora; Mustelidae. The transcript is spliced from 3 exons.